GUUUCGCCCUGUUUACCAAAAACAUCGCUCCUUGGAAAGGUUUUCUAAUAUAUAAGGAGUUCUGCCUGCCCAGUGACAUAGUUAAACGGCCGCGGUAUUUUGACCGUGCAAAGGUAGCAUAAUCAUUUGCCUUUUAAAUGGAGGCUGGUAUGAAUGGCAAGACGGAAGUUUAGCUGUCUCUCUUUUAGAGCUUUAAAAUUAAUAUUUUUGUGAAGAAGCAGAAAUGAGAUCGUAGGACGAGAAGACCCUAUCGAGCUUAAGUAGUAUGGUGUAGAUUUAGAGUAUGCCUUUUGUAUUAAUUAUCCUUAUUUUUAGGGAAGAUGAAUUUAUUAGGGAGGUGUAGAAUUAUUAUGUCUUUUAUUUAGAUUGGGGCAAUCGCGGAAAAAAUCGAACUUCCGCUGUAAAUGUGAAUUAGAAAGUGACACCUUUAAAACAUAUUAAGUUAUAUUGGAAUGAUCCACUUUUUAGAAAGUGAGUAAAGGAAUAAGUUACCGUAGGGAUAACAGCGUAAUUUUUUUGGAGAGUUCAUAUUGAUAAAAGAGUUUGCGACCUCGAUGUUGGAUCGGGACUUCCGGGGGAUGCAGCAGUUCCUAAAGGUUGGUCUGUUCGACCAUUAAAGUCCUACGUGAUCUGAGUUCAGACCGGUGAAAGCCAGGUCAGUUUCUAUCUACG
Molecule: ribosomal RNA, 672 nt
Filed under: Vitjazaster djakonovi
Lineage: Eukaryota; Metazoa; Echinodermata; Asteroidea; Paxillosida; Porcellanasteridae
Description: partial 16S ribosomal RNA
Rfam family: Bacterial large subunit ribosomal RNA
Source: RNAcentral